GCUUAACACAUGCAAGUGGAGCGACGAACCGGGGCUUGCCCCGGGGCAGAGCCGCGAACGGGUGAGUAACACGUGGGUAACCUGCCUCAAUGAUUGGGACAACCCGGGGAAACUCGGGCUAAUACCAAAUGUGUUCACUCCUUCUAAGGGGAGUGAGGAAGGGAAGCUUCGGCCUCCGCAUUGAGAUGGGCCCGCGGCCCAUUAGCUUGUUGGUGAGGUAACGGCUCACCAAGGCUUCGAUGGGUAGCUGGUCUGAGAGGACGAUCAGCCACACUGGGACUGAGACACGGCCCAGACUCCUACGGGAGGCAGCAGUGGGGAAUCUUGCACAAUGCGCGAAAGCGUGAUGCAGCAACGCCGCGUGGGGGAAGACGGCCUUCGGGUUGUAAACCCCUUUCAGUUGGGACGAAGCUUCGUCGGUGAAUAGCCGGUUGGAGUGACGGUACCUUCAGAAGAAGCCCCGGCUAACUACGUG
Molecule: ribosomal RNA, 475 nt
Filed under: uncultured bacterium
Lineage: Bacteria
Description: bacterial SSU rRNA
Rfam family: Bacterial small subunit ribosomal RNA
Source: RNAcentral